Molecule: long non-coding RNA, 3149 nt
Filed under: Panax ginseng (ginseng)
Lineage: Eukaryota; Viridiplantae; Streptophyta; Magnoliopsida; Apiales; Araliaceae
Description: long non-coding RNA (PGIN_LNC011426)
Source: RNAcentral
UCAAUCUUAACACAAACAUUCUUCAUUUAUUGAAUAACUCAAUAUUUAUCAAAUUCUCAUUUUACACAUCAAAAAUCAUCAUUUCGAUAUAAUAUAGUUCCUACUUAAAGGAGACAACUUUCUUGCACACAGACCUCUAUUUUUAAUCAUCCAGAUCGCAAGAAAUCGUGUUGCAUAUCAUACCUGCAAAAAUUAUAAAUUAUAUUUUUGCAAGACUGAGCUCGACAACCCAACAAAUCUAACAGUUUUCAUGCUUCAUAUAACACGUAGUUUCAUGCUCAACAUAUAUCUCUUAAUCCUUUCUACCAUCCAUGCAUCAUCACUUUAAAUAAUAUAUGUUCAUAUCAUAUAUCACAUGUAUAUUGAGUUCCAUAACUCAAUCAGCUUAGUUAUAUAUUGACUUUCACAGUUUAUAGCAUGUAACAUGUAAUUCAACAUAUUCUUAAAGAUCUCAUACAAUAACCAAUUCAUAGAAUCACAAAGAAAUUGAAAGACUUGCCUUGAUCGAUGACUAUUGAGAAAAAUCUUACUUUAACUUUACCUCACGAAUCCUACACAUUUAUGUUCACCUGUAUGUAUACAUUAGCGACAUAUUCAUGUCACAUAGCUUGUACAACUAUAAACAUUCAUAUAAACCAUAAUAACACCUCUUUAUGUCUGUUUCUGGAAAAACUUCCUUAUUUCCUUAGAAAUUUCGGGGUUUUUGGCUUAAUAUAGCCAUAAACUUGCAAAAAAGUUUCAACGCAACUUUUAAAACGUCAAUACAUUGUAUUUAUAGUUUAUAAACCUUUUAUAAUGUAUUUAUGGACUUAACACGCAUCUAUAUGUAGACUUAUAGUCAUAUAGUACAUCUGUGACUUUACUUUGAGUAUUCAUAGCUUAUUUUCGUUUUCGUGAGUAAUUUAAAUGAUAUUCCGCACGAAUACUAGCUUUAUAGGCUUAAUGCAUUCAUAUAACAUUACUUUCCCCAUUUCAUGUAUACACGAGGUACAUAUAUGCUUUUGCAUAUACGCCUCUCUUAUAAUGUCAAACCUUGCCCUCAUUUGAUUGACUUAUAGGAAGACAUAUGCUAUUUGUAUGUCUUAUACCUACACAUAGCUUAUUUAUGUCAAACGUUGAGUUUUCAACUCCAUUUGCAUAAUCUUUUCUUUGUAUUUUGAAAACCGUUCGGUUCCGAGGUAUAGCUUUGGAAUAGCUUUCAUUAACGUCAACGUAUUCCCAUUACAUGGAUAUAUUAUUCAUACUUAUGUAAAAUUAUGUUUACAUAUUGCGUUUAUAGCUUUUUAUGCGCAUUGAACGGAUACAUGGGUUAUAUAGUUCUUAAACUAUGUUUUAUAUCCGUUUCAGUGCUUCAAGGUAUGCCUAACUGCUAAAAACAUUGAAAUAUGUGUCGCAACAUUCAAACACGUGCCAAGACAUCGGAUAUUGCAUUAAGUUUCCAAAACCACGUUGCAGCGUCGGAUUGGGCUCGGCUGCCCUUGGUUUGGCCCAACCGGCCUUGACAUAGGCCGCUGGCGAACAUGUUUUGACGUUCACUUUGCAAGUUUUUAGUUUUUACCUCACCUGCCCGAUUCCGUCCAAUUUUGGAUAUGUUAUAGAUGGUAUGUCCUCCUAUUUUUAAAAAACGCUAGCCUUGCAUUUUGGGCAUCCUAAGCGAGAGAAAACAAGGCGUCAAAAAGGUAGCAGGUGGCUGGGAUGCUAUGGGCAGCCCCACCUUUUGCCGCGUAGCAACUUUGCAAUUUUCUCACGCCUUACUCGCUUACCGGAAAAUUCCCAAAUUUUAAUAUGUUUUUCGUAUCAUUUGAGACUAUUUUAAAAAAAAAUCAAACUCCCAUUUCGGGUUCUCUAGACAAUCUAAACAUUGCGCCAAAAGUGGACGUUCACAACAGUUUUCACUAUUUCUCCAGAUUUACCCUCUCGCGCUAAAAUAAUCAUCUUCUUUGUUUAAAACAUUUUUGAGCAAUUCUUGGGCCCACACGAAGCUAACUUCUGGGGAUACAACUUUUACUCUUUGACCAUUUUCAAAUUCCUAACACAAAAUUCCAGAAAAUUCAUGCAAGGGACUGCUUCGAAUCUGUUUUCCAGAUUUUGGACAGAUUCGACACACUUACUUUGGAAUGCCAUAACUCCCUCCUCCGAGGUCGGAAUUAGUCCAUUCUGAAGGAUAUGGAUUCCUUAUUCAGUGUAUUAUACUUUCCCAAAAAUCCAGAAUUUUUCUAGAAACAUAAUUAGUCCCGAAAUUGGCCUCAAGGUCAGUAGCCAAACUAGUUUUCAACUUUUCGUUUUGUCUCAAAAAUGUUUUCUCUCUUGAUUCAAUUAACCCAAAACCUCUAAUUAGUUAUAUAUAAUGUGUAUAUAUAUAACUCGGGUCUUGGCUUCGCUUAGUUUUCAUUUAUUUAACAAAAACAGUCCUUAGAGAACUUUUAGCGAACACAUAGUGUGCGUCGCUUUAAAAUUCAGUUUUCAUAGAGUUUGGUUUGUGUUCUAGCCCAAUUUUUCCCACCUUAUUACACCGCACAACCAAUCCUAUACUCGUUAGCUCUAAUUUCAGUCCAUACCUAUUAACUGCACAACCAAAUCAUGUAUAUAUAUAAUUAGUUAGUUUACUAACUUUCUAACUUUUCAAAAUUUCAUUCUUCUUUGAUUCUACAUAUUUUCAAUAUGAAAUAAUACAAUUUCCAUACAUAACUCAAUUACCCAUGCUUUCAUAUACCAAUUACAGUCAAUAGAGAUCAACUACAUAACUAAAACCAAUUUAAUCCAUUUAAGUUACUAACUUUCUUUACUAUUAACUAACUUCAUAAGCACAAAUCAUAUAACGAGAUAAAAUGUUACCUCUUGAGCUGAAAUUUCACUUCAUUAUUUGAUUAGGAUUUCUAUCCAAUCAAUUAAUUGAUAUUACUUCCUAUCAAUUUCUUCUGUAGUUCGGAUAACAUAGAAGUGAGAUGAAUAGGAGAGGGAAAAAUUUGAAAGCCUGAGGUUUCUUUUUAUAGGAACUUGAUUUCUUGCUCCUUGCACAUUCUUGCUCCAUACGGAAAUGGCUUCAGCUGAGUUGCCUAGUCUAAGAUUAGAAUAGAAAUCCAGCUCCUGCUUUUAUUUCAUUACUCAACAUUCUUAUUAACAGCUCAAGCUUUUUAAUUACUUAGCCC